CGACUUCAUGUGUAGCCCUGCCAUGUUUAUCUACGCCUGGCAUGCCGAGUACAGCCGGGAGCGUAGUAACUAGAGCGGUGCCAAGCCUCGCUGGCCUCUGGUUCCGUAGUACAGCGCUGUAAGAGGAGCAUGCAGAGCUUGUCGCGGCUGAGGUAUUGCUAGCGAGAGCGUUUGUUGAUGUACGAGCAUCUCACAGUGAGGUUUUGGCUGUGGAUUUACCCUAGAUGUGUUAUCAGUCUUUCUGAAGCUAUAAACCCUGUCAUUGCCCUUCAUUGUUUUCUGCUGUUCUGAAAAUCUCAUUUUUAGCACGUACCCCCCUGCAAGGAUCUCGUAACGUUAAGCCAUCAGGUGGAGUGGGAAGUUUGCUGUCCUCUGAAGAAUGCCAAGGGGUUGGGAAACAGAAGAGUGAGACAAAUCUGAGCAGUGAGAAGACUGCACCCACCCCACUAACUGCAAGGAGACUCACAUCUCUUGGAUCAACACCAGGUAAUGGGAUUGUGAAGACUAAAAAAGAUGUUCUGCUUCUGAAAGAGAAAAAGAAACAGAAGGCACUGGAGAAGGAGAUUCGUGCAUUAGUGAGAGAACGUGGAGAGCAGGAUAAAAAACUUCGUGCUC
RNAcentral lists this long non-coding RNA (615 nucleotides) under Serinus canaria (Common canary). Its description in RNAcentral is "lncRNA (ENSSCAG00000010615.1)". The record is from RNAcentral. Lineage: Eukaryota; Metazoa; Chordata; Aves; Passeriformes; Fringillidae.